GAACUCACCUUGUGUGGUUUCAGUGAAUGGAUGAUAAAGAACAGAAGUGUUAAACUCAAGAACACUUUAGAUGAUGCUUGAAGAUUCGAAGAUCUAACANAGAAGUGUUAAACUCAAGAACACUUUAGAUGAUGCUUGAAGAUUUGAAGAUCUAACACAAAUAUGAUGAUAUUUGUGUAAGGAACUCAUGAUUUGAGUGAAGAAAUGUAAGGAAAUCAAGUGUGGGAAGAGAUUUACUUACCAAAGGUGUGUGAAGAGCUCAAGAUCAGCCUUGAAUCUCGAAUUCUUGGUGAGAGGAAGUGAGAGAGAAUGGGUUUUGCUUUUUGGAGAAAAAUGAGUGAAAUGGGAGGAGAGAUAAGGAUCCUUCUA
Molecule: long non-coding RNA, 369 nt
Filed under: Lactuca sativa (garden lettuce)
Lineage: Eukaryota; Viridiplantae; Streptophyta; Magnoliopsida; Asterales; Asteraceae
Description: long non-coding RNA (LSAT_LNC007171)
Source: RNAcentral